This 1024-nucleotide long non-coding RNA is filed under the name Felis catus (domestic cat). RNAcentral's name for it is "lncRNA (ENSFCAG00000042569.2)". The record is from RNAcentral. Lineage: Eukaryota; Metazoa; Chordata; Mammalia; Carnivora; Felidae.
AUGCUAGCUCCUGCUUUUUCUUUCUUUCUUUCUUUCUUUCUUUCUUUCUUUCUUUCCUUUUCUUUUUACUUUCCACUCCUCUGCUCUGCUUCUAUUUUAAGGACUGAAAAUGAAGUAAGGAAUAAGACAGGACUAAUUAAAAGAAGAACCAAUGAGACCAGACAUAAGGAGGGAAACUUAAGAAAAAAGAAAGAAGAAACAAGUCUUUUCCAAACUCUAUCAACCAGUGGUCAAAGAUAUGCAGAGGUCACUCGAAAGAGUGUCUCCAAGAUUGUCUGAAGGAAAACAAAUGAGCAAGCCCAGAAAUUGGAGGCGAGGUGCUCUGCUGUGGCGGGGGAAAUGCCGAGAUGAUGACUUUUGGAAAAUUGCAUCGGGUUUAUCCAACACAGGACUGUUUUAAUCACUGCACCGGGGGACCUGCUUCAAGGACGGAUGGAUAAUGCAUGUUUCAGAGAGGCUGAUAGGGAGAUAGUGCGGAUCCUCAAACGUCUUGAACAGGCCAUUAAGUGAGCAAACGUCCUUGCACAUCUGCUUGGGGGUAUGGGACUCAGAAUUUCAAAGGAAACUUCAAGGUUCCCCUAUGGGCUCAAAGGAGCACUUGGGGAGGCAGACUCCAGCAAGACUCUGGAGAGAGAAAGGAGGCAUGUUCUUCUGCAAAGUCAAGCCCAGUCAGGGCGUAGCACCCCCUCACUGCCCACCCUUAUCCACUGGGAGUAACUGGAAGAUGGAUGACUGAUAUGCAGAUGAACAGAUACUCUGACACAUACAAUGACCUUGCUACAUUCUCAUCUCCAAACCUUCCAAAUCUUUCUUAUGGAACUGAGGUGCCAAGAGUUUAGGGAGACACAAGGGAUGGGGUGAAUUUAAUGGAAUGGGGAGAGGCUUUGGCAUUAAAUUAUCCAGGUUCAUAUCCCAGCUUUGUUCUGAAUUAUUUGUGCAACCUUGGGCACGUCACUUAAUCACUCCAGGUCUGGGUUUUGUCUUGCAAAGUAGGAAAAGGAGUUCCUAUCUGAUGACACUUGCG